This 450-nucleotide ribosomal RNA is filed under the name uncultured bacterium. RNAcentral describes it as "partial 16S ribosomal RNA". It matches the Rfam family "Bacterial small subunit ribosomal RNA", at positions 354 to 796 of the family's 1533-position model. The record is from RNAcentral.
GUGGGGAAUCUUCCGCAAUGGACGAAAGUCUGACGGAGCAACGCCGCGUGAGUGAAGAAGGUUUUCGGAUCGUAAAGCUCUUUCGUUAGGGACGAACGUGCUCUUUGUGAAUAAUGAGGAGUAAUGACGGUACCUAAAUAAGAAGCCACGGCUAACUACGUGCCAGCAGCCGCGGUAAUACGUAGGUGGCAAGCGUUGUCCGGAAUUAUUGGGCGUAAAGCGCGCGCAGGCGGGAUAUCAAGUCUGUCGUAAAAGUGCGAGGCUCAACCUCGUGAGGGGACAGAAACUGGUAUUCUUGAGUGUCGGAGAGGAAAGUGGAAUUCCAAGUGUAGCGGUGAAAUGCGUAGAGAUUUGGAAGAACACCAGUGGCGAAGGCGACUUUCUGGACGAUGUCUGACGCUGAGGCGCGAAAGCUAGGGGAGCGAACGGGAUUAGAAACCCGUGUAGUCC